This 1119-nucleotide long non-coding RNA is filed under the name Papio anubis (olive baboon). Its description in RNAcentral is "lncRNA (ENSPANG00000037717.1)". The record is from RNAcentral. Lineage: Eukaryota; Metazoa; Chordata; Mammalia; Primates; Cercopithecidae.
AUGGUAGGCUCCUCUCCUUUCCUCCUCUCCCUCGCACACUCCCGCACACACACACACACGGACACGUGUACGCGCCCGGGCUCGGGCACACUCGGCCCGGCGCGUCCCCCGCCGCACAAUUACGGUCCUGGAUGCCGCUCCCCGGCCGGGCGUCCCGGGGGCCUCCUCACCUGGCCCUUCUCGCCUUCCUCCUCCCUCGCCUCCCCGAUCCUCCCGCUCGCGGGCCGAGCCCCGAAAACUCCGGCCCGGCCUGGUCCGCCGCCUUGGAGAAGGCUGGAAGGGCCGGCGGGCGGGGAGAGGGGGAGCGCGGGGGAGAGAAAGAAAGUGAACUCAUUGGCGCGCCAGCGCCCUCCCCUCCCGCGUCCCGGGGCCGCGCGGCCGGGGGCGGGCAGGGAAGGAAGUUGUAACACUCGCGCCCCCUCCCCGCCCCCGCCCCGCCGGCGCCCGCUCCCCGCUCCCUCGGCGGGGCCCCCCUCCCCCGCGCCCGGCUCCUUUGAAUUUGGCCCGGCGCGGUGUGCGCGCGGCUCGGGCGGACGCGGCGGCUGCUGCCGGGGAGCGAGCCGGCGGCGCGGGCGAGCCGAGCGCGGUAAGUGCGGCGCCGCCGCCGGCGCGCCCUCCUUCCUUUCUGGGGUCCUAGUGCCGGGCCGCGGCGCCGGGAGCGGGCGAGCGCGAACCGGGACGGCGCGUGGCUGCGACUGGCCCCGGGAGGCGGCGGGCGCGGGGGCAUCUCCCCGGCGCGCGGGCUCUCUCCGCCGUCCGGCCUCCCAGUCCCCGCCCCGCCCUCGCGCCCGCCACCUCCGGCUGCCGGCUCAGGUGGGAACUUCGCCGGCGCCUCUCGCCCGAGGAGCCAGGCGCCGUGCCCCGGUUCUCGGGAGCCCCGGGGCCCCCGAGGAGGGCAGCCUGGAGGCUGGGCGCCCGGUGGGGGCGGGGAGAGGAGCCCGCUUGGUCCUCUUUGGCCCCCACUGUGUGGCGGGGCCCCGCGUCCUCUGCGGGGGCGUCUUGACAGGAUCCUGUGGGGCUUCCAGCGAGCGGAAAGCCCCGGGAUGUCACCGCUUUCCGGGGCAGGCAGGGAAGAGAAGGCUUCUGCAGCGACCAGGGAGCCAAGUUGGAAAGGAGUGA